Papaver somniferum (opium poppy) is the source of this 348-nucleotide long non-coding RNA. RefSeq lists it as uncharacterized. The transcript has 3 exons. NCBI's taxonomy places the organism in Eukaryota, Viridiplantae, Streptophyta, Magnoliopsida, Ranunculales, Papaveraceae. The record is from RefSeq and is a predicted model, not a curated record.
UGUUCCUCUUCGGGUGAUAGAACCACUGCGUUAGUCAAGGACCAGUGGUUGAACAAGGAUUAAAAGGAAUCCCUACGCGAAGUGGUGAAGGGUGGGUUUUACUAAUCCUGAUUUUUCACAGAGUUUACUCCCCUCUGGAUGGUGACAGUCUGGCCUGAGGUGAUGUUAGGUUUGACGACAGGUUAAUGUAAACAGGAAAAAUCAAUCAAGAUCCUGAGCAUCUGUUAGGGGUGAAGAGGCUAAUUUGGACAAUGGGUGUCUCAUCAGAUUUGAUUCAUUUUUUGAGGUAAUCUCUUCUCUCUUUGAUUUAAGUAAUCUGCAUAGCUAUAAAGAGAUACAAAUUGGUUC